GACGAACGCUGGCGGCGUGCUUAACACAUGCAAGUCGAACGGUAAGGCCCUUCGGGGUACACGAGUGGCGAACGGGUGAGUAACACGUGGGUGAUCUGCCCUGCACUUCGGGAUAAGCCUGGGAAACUGGGUCUAAUACCGGAUAGGACCAUGGACUUCACGGUUUGUGGUGGAAAGCUUUUGCGGUGUGGGAUGGGCCCGCGGCCUAUCAGCUUGUUGGUGGGGUAAUGGCCUACCAAGGCGACGACGGGUAGCCGGCCUGAGAGGGUGUCCGGCCACACUGGGACUGAGAUACGGCCCAGACUCCUACGGGGAGGCAGCAGUGGGGAAUAUUGCACAAUGGGCGCAAGCCUGAUGCAGCGACGCCGCGUGAGGGAUGACGGCCUUCGGGUUGGUAAACCUCUUUCAAUAGGGACGAAGCGCAAGUGACGGUACCUAUAGAAGAAGCACCGGCCAACUACGUGCCAGCAGCCGCGGU
Molecule: ribosomal RNA, 478 nt
Filed under: uncultured bacterium
Lineage: Bacteria
Description: bacterial SSU rRNA
Rfam family: Bacterial small subunit ribosomal RNA
Source: RNAcentral